RNAcentral lists this non-coding RNA (24 nucleotides) under Cricetulus griseus (Chinese hamster). The record is from RNAcentral. Lineage: Eukaryota; Metazoa; Chordata; Mammalia; Rodentia; Cricetidae.
AGUGGAUGCUGGGAACCAAACUCA